CUGACAGGGUCCAUUCCAUUCUCCCCACUCUGUACCCACGUGAGGAAGUACAGAUGAAGGCUGCCUCUCCAGACCUUUAACCCACAUACACAUCUGCCCCACUGCUGUGGGACAGGAAGCCCCAGAGCUGCUGAGAACUGGAGCAAAUCAUGACCAACCCCUUGUGGAUCCACUGACCCUGCAUUUUCUUUCCUGAGACACUAGACCAGCCCCACCUCCCAGCUGGCAACCUGGGACUCCAGCUCACAGACCACUUCCUCCUCCUGGUGAAGCAGCCUGACCUUUGGGAUGCUGCUCCUGAGGGGAUUCGCCUUCUCCUGCCUCUGGGUUUUUGGACUCGGGCAGCUGGAACAAACUGAAAUGUCAGUCACUGGACUGACAGGUGAGAGUGCCCAAAUACCCUGUAAAGUUUCUCUUCCAGAUUUUGGCAAUACAUAUAUACAUUGGUACUGUCAGAAAACCAACCGAAAGUUUGAGUAUCUACUAUAUGUCAAGACAAGUUACAAUCAACUCACCUUGAAUGGGAAGAACAAGAAAAUUGAAGGCAGUAAAGACUUUCAAACUUCUACUUCAACCUUGAAAGUAAAUUUCUUGAAGAAGGAGGAUGAAGCCACCUACUACUGUGCAGUCUGUGCAGGCUCAUCAUGGAUCAUGGUAUUUGGAAGUGGGACAAAGCUCAGAGUAAUUCCCUCAGGCAAACAUUUGGGUUCAGACAUUUCUCCCAAGCCUACCAUCUUUCUUCCUUCUGUUGCUGAAACAAAUCAUGAUAAGGCCGGGACAUACCUUUGUCUCCUUGAGAAAUUCUUCCCUGACGUUAUAAGGGUAUAUUGGAAGAAAAAGAAUGGUGAUCAGAUUCUGAAAUCUCAAGAGGGAAACACCGUGAAGACUGGCGACACAUACAUGAAGUUAAGCUGGCUGACUGUGCCUGAAGACUCAAUGGAUAAAGAGCAUAGAUGUAUUGUCCAACACGAAAGCAAUAAGAGAGGUCAUCAAGAGGUUCUGUUUCCUCCCAUAAAAAAAGAAGCUGCUUUGAAAACUGAAAAUGAUGUGACAACUAUUAAAGUUAAUCCCAGAGAAAGUGUUUCGAAAUGGGAAAAUGGAAACAAUACUACUGAUAUGGAAGCUUGCAAGGCAGAAAUAAAGGAUGUGCUGCAGCUUCAGCUCACAAACACCUCUGUGUUCUACAACUACCUCAUCCUGUUCUUCAAGAGUCUGGUCCACUUGGCCUUCGUUGUAUUCUGUCUGUUGAGAAGAACAGCUGUGCCUUGCAAUGGUCCGAGUUCAUAAUGGAUGAUGAAACGGGAGGGUACCAUUGUCUUCAUCCUUUGCUGUACCUCAGUAUCUGCUGAGGGUCUGGUUAAUGUUGCUUGUAGCUUCGACCUCCUAAAAAUCACAUAUGUGUAACUUUAUAUCAUGUUUUUAAAGCAGGGAGAAAAAGGAUCCACUUCACUCUACAACAAAUAGUAGCCCCAGGAAGCACCCAGCCAUCCUAAUCCUUCAUCUCUAAGUCUGUCUAAGAGCACAGAGCAUGACAGGCCCAAUGUAAACAAACUGCAGCUUCUAGUUGCCUCACUUCAUGCCUUAGAACCAGAUAAUGCCCCCAAAGCCUCUACCACAUGCACUGAAGAACCUUAUUUGAAGUUGAAUUCUGUGCUUUGUUUUGCCAAAUAAAAAUUAAAAAAAAAAAUA
This is a non-coding RNA of Meriones unguiculatus (Mongolian gerbil), 1689 nucleotides long. The record is from the annotation of a RefSeq genome assembly. Lineage: Eukaryota; Metazoa; Chordata; Mammalia; Rodentia; Muridae.